RNAcentral lists this ribosomal RNA (384 nucleotides) under uncultured Alphaproteobacteria bacterium. Its description in RNAcentral is "bacterial SSU rRNA". It matches the Rfam family "Bacterial small subunit ribosomal RNA", at positions 9 to 419 of the family's 1533-position model. Lineage: Bacteria; Pseudomonadati; Pseudomonadota; Alphaproteobacteria. The record is from RNAcentral.
GAGUUUGAUCAUGGCUCAGAACGAACGCUGGCGGCAGGCUUAACACAUGCAAGUCGAACGGUUGUAGCAAUACAGCAGUGGCGCACGGGUGAGUAACGCGUGGAUAUCUGCCUUUUGGUUCGGAAUAACUCCGGGAAACUGGAGCUAAUACCGGAUGGUUCCUACGGGAUAAAGAUUUAUCGCCAAAAGAUGAGUCCGCGUACGAUUAGCUAGUUGGUGAGGUAAUGGCUCACCAAGGCGACGAUCGUUAGCUGGUCUGAGAGGACGAUCAGCCACACUGGGACUGAGACACGGCCCAGACUCCUACGGGAGGCAGCAGUGGGGAAUAUUGGACAAUGGGGGCAACCCUGAUCCAGCCAUGCCGCGUGAGUGAUGAAGGCCUUC